GACGCACGCUGGCGGCGUGCUUAACACAUGCAAGUCGAACGGAAAGGCCCUGCUUUUGUGGGGUGCUCGAGUGGCGAACGGGUGAGUAACACGUGAGUAACCUGCCCUUUACUUUGGGAUAACUUCAGGAAACUGGGGCUAAUACCGGAUAGGAGCUCCUGCUGCAUGGUGGGGGUUGGAAAGUUUCGGCGGUUGGGGAUGGACUCGCGGCUUAUCAGCUUGUUGGUGGGGUAGUGGCUUACCAAGGCUUUGACGGGUAGCCGGCCUGAGAGGGUGACCGGCGACAUUGGGACUGAGAUACGGCCCAGACUCCUACGGGAGGCAGCAGUGGGGAAUAUUGCACAAUGGGCGGAAGCCUGAUGCAGCAACGCCGCGUGCGGGAUGACGGCCUUCGGGUUGUAAACCGCUUUCGCCUGUGACGAAGCGUGAGUGACGGUAAUGGGUAAAGAAGCACCGGCUAACUACGUG
Molecule: ribosomal RNA, 468 nt
Filed under: uncultured bacterium
Lineage: Bacteria
Description: partial 16S ribosomal RNA
Rfam family: Bacterial small subunit ribosomal RNA
Source: RNAcentral